UCUUUGAAGAUUUUUUUUUUUUUUUUUUUUUUUUUUUUUAGUUUAGUUUGUUUUAGUAUUUUUAAAAAAUAAUUCAUUAAGUUUUAACUGAUAAGGUUAAUUUUUAUUAUUGGGGAAUAAUUUUUAGUACCUUUUGUAUCAGGGUAAUUUUAAAAAUUAAAUUUAUUUUUUUUUUCCCGAAUUAAAAUGAUUUAUCUUUAAUUUUUAUUAGUUGUUUUAUAAAUUUUAAUAAAUUUUUGUUAGUAAUUAAAAGUUAUUCGUUUUUUAGUAUAUCUGGUUACUUAAGAUUUAAUUUAAUUAUAGAUUUUUUUUAAAGUCAUAUUUAUAUGGGGGAUAAUCUCUAUUUUCUAUUAAAAUUUUUAUUAUUUUUUUUUUUAUAUUUUUAGUAUUUUAAAUUAAAGUUUUUAAUAAAUUAGAAAUAUUUAUAUCAGAUUUUUUAAUAUUUAUUUUUUUAUUAAGUUUUUAUAUUAAAUUUAAAUUUUAAAUUAAUAUUGAUUUAAUUAGUAUAAUAUUUAUAUAAAUUAUAAUGAAUUCGACAAAAAUUAGUGUUCAACUGUUUAACAAAAACAUUUCUUUUAGGAAAAUAUUAAAAGUAAUUUCUGCUCAAUGAUUAAAUUUAAAUAGCUGCAGUAUAUUGACUGUACAAAGGUAGCAUAAUAAUUAGUUCAUUAAUUGUGAACUGGAAUGAAUGAAUAUAUGAAAUGCUUGUUUUAUUUAUUUUAUUAUUAGAAUUUUAUUUUUAGGUUAAAAAGCUUAAAUAAUUUUUAGGGACGAUAAGACCCUAUAGAGGUUUAAUUUUAAUUUAAUUUUAAGUUAUUUUUGUAUAAUAUUUAUUUACUUUGAUUAUUUAGGAAUUUUUUCUGGGGCGGAUGAUAAAUUUGAACUUUAUUUUUUAUAUUCAUUUAUAUAUGAUUUUAUUGAUCCGAUAUAUUUAUUAUUCGAUUAUAAGAAAUAGCUACCUUAGGGAUAACAGCGUAAUUUCAAUGGGGAGUUCUUAUUUAUAUUGAAGUUUGCGACCUCGAUGUUGAAUUAAGAUUAGAUUUUGGGGUAGUUUUUAAUUUUCUAAGUCUGUUCGACUUUUAAAUUCUUACAUGAUUUGAGUUCAGACCGGUGUAAGCCAGGUUGGUUUCUAUCUUAAAAUCUUUUUAUCAAGUUAGUACGAAAGGACCAUUUAAUACAAUUCUAUAUUGUUUAUUUUAUUAAUAA
Molecule: ribosomal RNA, 1206 nt
Filed under: Durgades nigropicta
Lineage: Eukaryota; Metazoa; Arthropoda; Insecta; Hemiptera; Cicadellidae
Description: 16S ribosomal RNA
Source: RNAcentral